UGCUCAUAGCAAUGAUAUUCACAGUAGCCAAAGAUGGAAACAACCCAAAUGUCUGUCGAUGGAUGAACAGAUGAUUAUGAUAUAUACAUAUAAUGGAAUAUUGAUCAGUCACAAAGUAUUGAGACCUACCAUGAUGCAGAUGGACAUCCAAAACGCUAAGGGAAAGGCCAGCCGUGAAAUGCCACCUAUUUCCUAUUCUGUCACAUGAAAACGCCCCAUAGGUAAGUCCACAGAAACAGAGUUGGUGGUGGCCGAGAGUGGCAGGGUGGGGAGGGGAACAGAGCACAGUAGCUCUUCAGUGCACGAGGGACUGUGCUGGAGUGGUGGAAGUGUUUUGGCACUCAGUGGAGGUGGUGGCUCCAAGCUGUGAAUGUUCUCAACAUUCCUGAAUUGUUCACUUUAAAAUGGUCAAUUUUAUUAUGUAAAUUUUGCCUCAGUUAAAGAAAAGAUAAUUGACGGUUCAAACAUAUGUAUAAGUAAAAUAAAUAAAGUGUAUAGAAAUAGUAUAAAGGCCAGGAGGGGAAAUGAACGUGGGGUCCUCAUGCUCUGUGAAGUGGUGUGAGGCCACUUGUUAUACCGCUUGGAUGCUGAAAGACCGGAGAUUUAUACACACACCCUAAAGCCACCACUAAAAUCACACAGCAAAGAGACACAACUAAGGAGACACGGUGGAAUCAUAAAAAAUCCCACCCAAAAGAAGGCAGAAAAAGAACAGAGGGAAAAAAGAACAAAGGAUAGAAAGAGACUAAUGUGACGAACGGCGACUGCGUCAAUAUCACAUCGAGGGGCUGGGGCUGGGGCUCAGUGGCGGAGCACUCGCCUAGCAUGUGUGAGGCCCUGGGUUCGAUCCUCAGCACCACAUAAAAAUUAAUUAAUUAAUUAAUUUUUAAAAAUGUAUCACAUUGAAGGUAACUCGUCUAAACAGCGGUCUUGGUCCAUUUGGGCUGCUAUGAGACUGGGUAGUUGGUCAGCAGGAUUUAUUGUUCACAGCGCUGGCGGCUGGAAGUCCAAGAUCAAGGCACUCAUAUUUCUGGUGUCUGGCGCAGGCUGCUCUCUGCUUUAAAGAUGGCGUCUUCUAGCUCUGUCCUCCCAGGUGGAAGGCACAAAUGCUCCCACAGGCCUCAUUUACAAGGCCUCAGUCACAAGCAUGAGGGUGGAGCCCCCGGGACCUCCUCACCUUCUAGUGGCCUAACCUCUUCACGCUAUCACACUGGUCACUAGCUUCCAACAUACGAACUUUAUGGGGACACCAACUUUCAGGCCACAGCGAUGGCCAACUGAAGAUCCCGGAGGAUCAGAUUAGACUAAAAGUCUAGGCCCAACUAUGUGUUACCUGUAAGAAAUGCCCCUUCAAUGUAAAGGCACAGAGAAGUGGGAAGAAAAAGGUCAGAAAAGUCACACCAGGUAGCAGUGGUCGAAGGAAAGCUAGGAGAAAUAUCACAGAGGAAAAGAGGAUCACUGCUGAUCAUGAAAGUGUCCCAUGAUCAAGAAGACAUGCAAUCUGUAAUAUCAAUCCACAUGACCUCAGAGCCUCAAAGUUCAUGAAGCAGCAACACUUAGACCUGAAGGGAAAAAUAGUUCACCGUUGUGGUCAGAGAUUUUAACACCCUUUUCCAGUGAUCGAUAGAGCAAGUAGACAGAAGAUUGGUAAGAAGUAGAUGAUUUGGGCAACAUUGUCAGUCAUCCUGACCUAAUUAUAACUUAUAGAAUGCCCUGCUCAACAAAAGAAGAAUACAUAUUCUUUUCAAGUGCACAUGAACUGUGUACCAAGAUAGACCGUAUUCGUGUCCAGGAAACAGAAAGCAUUCAAGUUAUGCAGUGUGUUCUCUGACCAUAUGGAAAUCAAAACAUAAAAAUCUUGGGGUAAUUUUCAAAUUUGCAAACUAAGGGACACAUUUAUGUCAGACGAAUCAAGAAUAAACCAUAGGUAAAAAAUGGAAUUUUAAAAUGAAUGAAAAUGAAAAUAUAACAUACCAGAACCUAUGAGACGACGCUAAGGCAAGGCUUAGCUCAGCUUCGGAUGGAGCCAAUUCUUGCAUUAGAAAAAGAGAGCGAGCUCAAGUCAGUAUCUCAGUUCACCCUGAAAACCAGAAAAAGGUGGUCUUCUGAACGAUGGGAGAGGGCGCUGGGCUUGAAACGGUGGCUCCUCUGUGCACCACCAGUACUAGAGAGGAGCCCCCGGCUCCCUCAGGCCCAGCCUAGAUGAGCCAAUUCGCGUGGAGAAAAGAUGGAGAGCUCUGAGCAGAUUGCAGGUUUAAAGUCAGAAUUUCAUUAUGAUGUUGUGGAGGAAACUGAUGACUACAGAAAUUAAUAAGAGGCAUAUGAAGAGAUGUGUAAAUCAACAAAAUGGAAUGUUCCAAAGCUCUUUGGGGAGAUGGUGUUGCCCUAGUUGCCCCUCCAUUGAGAGUUGGUUGGAACAAAAAAUUCAUCCUGUGCAGAAAAUAGAUGACUUCGUACAAUUGCCUCUUUAAAUGUGCAAGACACUCAGAAAGAGAAACCCGCAUAUGUUUUGAUAUGAAGAAAUGACCUGGGCUGGGGAUGUGGCUCAAGCGGUAGCGCGCUCGCCUGGCAUGCGUGCGGCCCGGGUUCGAUCCUCAGCACCACAUACCGACAAAGAUGUUGUGUCCGCCGAAAACUAAAAAAUAAAUAUUAAAAAAUUCUCUCUCUCUCUCUCCUCUCUCACUCUCUCUUUAAAAGAAAAGAAAAAGAAAAAAGAAAUGACCUGAGGUUCAUCCUCCCCUGAAAUGAGAUAUCUGUGAAUAACUCACAACUUCCUUAAAAAAGAAAGAAAAAAUCAAAAUAGAGAAAAUCAAACCCAAAGUAAGUAGAAGAAAGGAAAUAUUAAAGAGAAAAUCAAUGAAAUAGAAAAGAGAAAAAUAGUGGAGAAAAAAAAAUGAAACCAGCACUGGCUGUGUGGAUGACCAGUGCCACCGCCAGACCAGUGACACUCCAGCCAGACUCCUCGGGAGACAAAGAGGAGACCAGGCUCCGACACCUGAGGGGGAGGGCCAACAACUUCCAGCACACGCAUUUGACAAGUCAGAUGAAAGGUCCAAAUUAUGUGAAAGACAAAGAAUUUCCAAACCUCACUCAAGAGAAAGGAGAUGAUCUGAAUAUCCUCCUAUCUAUAAAAGAAAUUGAAAUUACACAGAGAAAACUCCAAGUCCCCAGGCCUCCGUUAGUCAAUCCCACAGAACACCUCAGGAACUCUACACAAGCUCUCAAAAUGUGAAAGAAAAGGAUAUAUUUCCCCACUUAUUCCAUUGUACAAGACCAAAGAGGCAUGACAGGAAAACUAGAGAACAAUCUCUCAUGAUCCGAGUUGCAAAAAUUCUAGGUCAGAGGUGGGGCUUAGCUCAGUGGGGGAGCACGCGCCUUGCACCUAGGAGGGGCUGUUUUGCCCUCAGCACCACAUAAAAUAAAUAAACAAAUAAAUACAUAAAAGGUUUUUGUGUCCAUCUACAACUAAAAAUAUUUUUUUAAAAAAUUCAGGGUCAACUUCAGCAAGUUAUACCUAACAAUAUAUAAAAAGGAUAAUACAUCUUGACUACAUAGGAUCUAUCGUUGGAAGGCAAGGUUGGAUACCAUUAGAAAAUCUAUCAAUGUAGUUCACCACAUGAACAAACUUAAAAAAGAAAAAAAUAUUAUCAUCUCAAUGGAUGCAGAAAAAUCACUGGACAAAAUCCAACAUCCGUUUCUUGCAAAAGUGUCACCAAAGCAGAAAUAGAAGGGGACUUCUUCAACACAGGAGCAAGCAUCUACAAAACGCUAUAGUUAACAUUAUAUUUAAGGGUGAAAGACCAGAAUUCUCCCCCGAGACCAGGAACAAGAGAAAGAUGACGCCAUCCCUACGGCUCUUGUUCAAUAUUGUACUGGAGGUUCUAACCAGGGAAAUCAGGCAAGAGUGAGAAAUAACAGGAAUUUGGACAGACAAAGAAAAAAUAAUGCUAUUUACAAAUGACACCAUCAUCUAUGUAGGAAAUCCAAUGAAACUACAAAAAAGUGCUAGAACUAAUUGUUGCAUUUAACAGGUUUUCAGGGACAAAAAUCUAUAUACAUGAAUCUAUAUGCGUAUUUCUAUACACAACAAGCAGUUGACAAUUAAAACUCUGAAAUGCUAUUUACAACAGCAUCAAAACUAUGAAAUAUAUAAGGAUAGAUCUUACAAAAGGUGUGAAAACCUGGCACUACUGAAGGAGUUUAAAGAUCUCCACAAUGGAGAGGGCUGCUGGGUUCAUGGGUUGGAAGACGUUUUGUUGAGAUGUUAUUUUCUCCUCAAGUUGGCCUGUAGAUUCAAUGCAAUCCUAAUCAAAACUCCAGCAGUCUUUUAAAAAAUUAGAAAACUGACUGUGAAAUUCACAUGAAGACCGAUGGAAACAAAAAACAAAGCAGCUUUAGAAAAGACAAAGCCAGAAGACUGCACUAGGUGAUCUGAACAUACGAAGCAUCAGCAAUCGAGAGUGUGGUAGUGACACAAGUGCAGAUGACCAGACGGCUGGAACAAGACAGAGUCCAGAAACAGAACCACCGCUGGGCAGCUUAUUUGACAAAGUACAAAGGCAAUUCAAAUGACACUGUGGCAAUCUUUUUAACAAUGGCAUUGAACAUCUGCAUGGAAAACCAAAAACGAAAGUCUAAAGAGCAAAGUUUAAUACUUACCUGGUCCCAUGCACAAAAAUUAACUCAAAUGGACCCUAUGCCUAAAUGUGAACCCCAAACUGCUGAAAACCUUUAUGAUCUUGGGUUAGACAAUGCUGUCUUAGAGUUGACACCAAAAGCCUGACUCGUAAGGGAAUACGUGGGUAAGUUGGGCUUCCUCACAGACAUGUCUGCCCCUUGACAGACAUUGUUCAGAGAAUGUGAAGACAAGCCACAGACAGAGAAAGUGAUUUGAAAGUGUGAAUCUGACACAGGACUCGUAUCCAGAAUAUGUACAGAAUGCAAUAAGCACAUGGGAAGCUCAAAGUCAUCUGUCAUUAUGGCCGUGCAAGUUAAAAUCACAAUGAGAUGCCCCGCCAGCCAGGAGAGUGUCGUUAAUAAUGUCUCAAUAAAGCUGCCCGUGAAGAAGAGCAGGAGAUGUGUCCAGAAGUGAGUCCCCUCCUGCCCUGACUCCUGGGGGUCCUUGAUAAAUGACAGCUGUCCCAGGGUCUGUGACCCUGGGCUGGGGCUCUGGCCAACCUCUUCCUUUGGUAAAGUGAGCUUAGCCCGGGCUUUGUAGGGUGGGAGCCUCCUUGACCCCAGGCCAGCAUGACCCCACAGGAAGCUCCUGGGUCCAGGGAGAGAAACAGUGUGGGGACCUGGAGGGCUGUGCUUCUGCCGAUCUGGCCAGCAAGCCAGGAGGACAGGCGUCCCUCCACAGGGCUGCACCCCAGAGGC
RNAcentral lists this long non-coding RNA (5376 nucleotides) under Marmota monax (woodchuck). Lineage: Eukaryota; Metazoa; Chordata; Mammalia; Rodentia; Sciuridae. The record is from RNAcentral.